AUGGCCCUCUCCUCCUCCCCUUGGUUUCUCUUCUCUUGGCAAAAGGACGGAGGGCGUUCAACUCGGCACGGCGAGCCAUGGGUGACACCUUCCUUCCUCUCCAAAGCAAGGGAAGGGAAGGGAAGGAGAGGGGAGGCCCCAGAUCGAGGAGCAGAGCGAUGCCCAGAUCCGCAGCGGCACCUGCACCGGCGCGUCGUCGUCCAAGUGGUCCUCGAGGAAGGCCAUGGAUGGAUGGAACGAUCGAUGGAUGGGGGCGGAACCCUAGCCCCACACCCACCCAUGGAUGAUGACGGCGGUGGCCUUCUCUUGGUCGGGUGGGGAGCGAAGCUUGCGGUGGCCCUCGACGCCCGCGACGGGCUGCAGCACCUAGACUUCAAAGGCAGGCCAUCACAAUGGAAAUGGAAGGAUGAGCACCAUGGCGGGCGUGCAGGUUCAGGCACGGUUUACACAAACACGUCCUGUUUCAAUGGCUCAAACUGUUGGUCCUCCCAUGGCAAUGUUCCCUGCUGGUGUUCAUGGAGUUAG
RNAcentral lists this ribosomal RNA (525 nucleotides) under Triticum aestivum (bread wheat). Its description in RNAcentral is "partial small subunit ribosomal RNA". The record is from RNAcentral. Lineage: Eukaryota; Viridiplantae; Streptophyta; Magnoliopsida; Poales; Poaceae.